Molecule: long non-coding RNA, 7581 nt
Filed under: Mytilus galloprovincialis (Mediterranean mussel)
Lineage: Eukaryota; Metazoa; Mollusca; Bivalvia; Mytilida; Mytilidae
Source: RNAcentral
CGAUCAUAUCGCUACCUAUUCCGAAUCUUACUACGGCUUAGGCUGUUUUCAAUUUUUUGUAGAAGGUAUGUGUCAAAUGUAAAUUAUUAAAUAUUACGUGUUCGUUUACUUUUAGAAAAUGAUUAACAAAAACGUUUAAUGUUAUAUGUUUAAGAAUAUACACUCUUAACUUUUUUUCUCCCUGAUUUUAAUCUCAAAACAAAAUCGGUUAUUAAUUUUCGUUUUUUUUUAUAUUUUCAUAUGUGGUAUUUAUAUAUUGCCUUCAUCACUCCAAGAUAUACUUAGCUUCAUAACAAUAAUACCAAUACGUUUCCAAAUAUAUAGUUGUAUCGUGUGUUUAAGCAGUCAUUUAUUUUAUAUGACAAUGUCUAUUUUUAAAUGAGAUUUGUGGUCACCUCUUCCGAUGUUGACUUCAUCGUUGACAAAAAUGGUAUUCUGAAUGUCAUCGAUUCUAUAUCAUAUUGAUAACAUUUAUAUGUGAGAUCUUUGGAAUCUUCUUCUAAACAGUACGUGUUUAGUGAAGUUAUUCUGGUAGAGUAAAAAUAUCUAAAUUUUCACCAACCGAUGUUUUGCAUAGUGUAAAAAAUACUAUUCCAUCUGAAUUAAAUUUAUUGAUUUAUCAAAGUGUUUCUAUGUACUAACAAGUACUUUAUUAGAUUUCAUUUGAAGAAAUUUUUUUUAACAUUGGUUUACCGUCAUUUUAGGCUAUUAACAUUACAUACAAACUGGAUAUCUUGUCAGAGCACCGAAUCAUGUAAAAGAUCGGUCAUAAGCGUUAUUGUUUUGUAAAUUGUUGAAUAACUAUAGUCAGUCCCUUCAACCUUGCUGGUAUCUCUUAUAUUAGCGUAUACUUCAUUUUAUUAACCUGAUGGUGGAUUUGAAGGAUGACUGUUUUGAAUAUGUUCUUAUUUAUAUAUUGUUUGAAUAGAUCGGAACGGUUGACCUUACGAGAAAUAGAAAACAACACCCCCUUUUAUUCAACAUUAUCUAAAAAGAUUUUGUUUUCAACAAACAUCCAAUGAGUGCAGCAGUGUUAAAAUGUUAAUUUUUAAAUCGAAAGUUUGUUCUAAUCAUUCCCGAAUUGAUUAAAUGAUUGAAAAACAAAAACAUAAAAAAAUAUAUAUAUCUAAAAAUAUAUAAUUUUUCUUUUCUUUUUGUUUUUCCUAACGUCCUGAUAUAAGAGAACUUUUCCCAAAUCGUCUUUUCUAUGAAACUCAGCACAAUAAACGAAACUGUGAAACAAUUGUGUAAAAAAUGCACGGGAUUAUUUUCUGCCAUAACAAAGCUAUAAAUAAGGUUAAGUGUCAGUCCCAAAUAACAGAGAUACAUUGUUUAGAAAUCAAUUGUAUUAUUCUAAUAGUAACUCAGUCGUAGAAGCUUUUGAUCAUGCAAUCGCCAUAUUGAAAUGUCAUUCAUUUGUGCAGUUUGAGUCAAUAUCUAUAGAACACAUAUUAGGUUUUAACUUAUCUCUAUGAAUGAGACAUUAAACUUGAUAUUCAUCCGAUCGACAUAUGCAUAUUUAAACCCAAUCGUCAACUCAUUGUAUAAUAUGAAUUAUGAUAUAAUAAAACUUACCAACCGUUAAUUUAUUCUUUAAAAGAUAAGUAACGAUUUACUUGCGAGACACAAAGAAAUAAAAUGAUUAAGUGACUCUUUACAAACACGAAGAAUGUAGUUUUUGUAUUUUUUUUCUGAUUUAGCAUGAAUGCAUAUUUGUGUUUAUAUUUUUUAACAAUCCAAACCUAAUGGAUGGAAUAUAACUGUGAAUUUUCCACGCAAUGUACAGGCAUUUUACAGAAAUCAUUCCAAUAAAACAUCGCUUACAAGGCGCGGUUUAUACCAAUGAGACAACCUCCAACGGAAACACUAUGUAUCCAAAACUCUACACAAAGUUUGUAUCUAUUUUGAUUGAUUAAAAAAUAAUUGAUUUUUACCUUGUUCUAUGCUUCCUUUUACAUAAGUAAGCUUUGUAUUUGUCUAAUUAUAAAAUGUUGUCAAAGAUGAAGUCUCCCCAUGAUGAUUUUACCUUGGUUUAAUUUUAUGGAGCUACGUAGCCAUCAAACAAUCUAAAUUGUAAUAAAAAGGCAUUCAUAAAUAACGUUUCUGAUUUUUGUAUUCUUAAAAUGUACUUUACAAUUGUUAUAAAAUGGUCUUAUCUAGCUUCUGGGAGCACGAAAUUAAAUUUGAAUCAAGGUAUCGAAUACGUUCUGUUCAGUUAAAGGACAUAGAUCAAAGUUGAAAAAUUGUAAAAGUGUUUCUUCCAAAAAGUCUUCUUUUCCAGUUAUUUAGUACAUGUUAUGGUUUAGACUUUGAACUUGUCUCCAACUACAUGUGCUGUUAAAGCUUUUGGGAGUAGCAACAAAAAUGCAAUCAGCUGAUUAUUGAUUAUUUCUGUCAUAAUCGUAAUGGGUGACGAGUCCCAGGUAAAAAUCAGGGUCUUCUCAUUAGGGAGAAAUACUGGGAAACUUAAUUAUAUAAAAAAAGAGGGACGAAGACAAACCUUCAAAUUGCUUUCGUAAAAAAUGAAUUUAAGCGCCAUUUUUUUUUUAUUUCAUUGCAAAAUGCAAAAUGUUGACCCCAGGCAGAAAGCCUGUUUUCCAUGUUAAAAGAAGCAUACAGCAUGGAAUGAUAUGAUUAUUUCAAUUGAAAUUGUUAAAUUGUGUGUUUUGAAUCGGGUCUAAAAUACACAUUUGAAAGGUAGUAACGUUUUAUGACAAUAAACCUUUUUAAAAUAAAAAAAAAAUUGACUUUGUGUAAUUUCCUAGGUAAUAUCACCAACACAAAUGUCCAUUUUUGUUUCCAGCAAUAUUUGAACAUAGUUGUGACGUCAAUAAAUAAUCAAAACAACAGACGUAUAACGCUGUUUUAUAAUCAUAACUCGAAAAACCAAUACGGGUCACAAACCAAAACCGAGGGAAACAUAUCGAGUUAAAAUGAAAAACAACAGAAAAAUUGAACUGCAACAAAAACAAACGCCAACAUUCAUAGCAACGCAUUUUAAUAACAACUGCUAUAUUCCUGUAUUGGUACAUCAAUCACAACAAUAAUGGCAAAGCGAAAAAAGAACCUCAUAUAAAUAGAAUGUUUAUUUACGUCUAACGUAAAUUACACUUUUUUCUUAAAGGAUGUUUGAUUUAUAAAAAAAAAGAUGAAAAUGUUCGAGGUAAGUGAUUGUGUAUUAAACUUAUAUUUUACUUUUUAAUGUUGUGUCGUCAUUCUCCUCUUAUAUUUAAUGCGUUUCCCCCAAUUUUGGUUGUGUGACCCGGAUCUGUUUUUUUUUUUUCCUAUCGAUUUAUGAGUUUUGAUUAUCGGUAUACUACUGAUGCCUUUAUUUAGUGUAAUUUUAUCCCGUGAAAAAGACAGUGAGAUUAGACAAUGAUGCAAUCAUAACAUUUUGUCUUUGAUAUGUGUUUUUUUAAAAGUUUUAAAUACUAGUAUACACACGUUGAUAAAUAUGUUGAGUAUUCCAUGUCUUAUAGAUAUAGGAAGAUGUGGUGUGAGUGUCAAUGAAACAACUCUCCAUCCAAAUAAAAAUUAAAAAAAAAAAAUAAAUCAUUAUAGGUCAAUGUACGGCCUUCAACACGGAGCCUUGGCUCACACCGAACAACAAGCUAUAAAGGGCCCCAAAAUUACCAGUGUAAAAACAUUCAAACAGGAAAACCAACGGUCUAAUCUAUAUAAAAAAAUAUGUAUGGAUUUGGGGAUAUGUAAAGAAAUCAAGUUGAUAAUAGUUUUAUUUUCACUAACUAAAGUACGAAUCUCUGCAAAUACAUUUCUUAUCAAAAUCGUUAUUCAUCAGACUAAUAGUGUGUUUGGCAGGUAAUAUGAACAAUGUCUUUGACAUAUAUUCUUUUUUUUUCAACAGUACCUCGAGGAAUAUGUAAUCCUCUGAUUUACAUUUUUUUUGUUUUAGUUAGAUAAUAAUUUAGUCGAAAAAGGCGUGUUUUAUACCAAUAUGAACGAUGAAUUUAUUAUAGAAAACAGGAGUAAACUUUGGUAUUUGUGUAAGAUGUGAGCUUCAUCUAAAAAAGACUCAUCAGUGACGCUCGAAUAAAAAAAAGUUUAAUAGGCCAUAAAAAUAAUACAACAUAUCGACAAUGUUUUUUUUAUUUCAUUUAAAAAUAGUAUUUGAGUUUAAUAUGAUUUUUUAAACAACCUUUUCAUAAAUCCGUUUCCCAAUUCUCUUUUUUUUUCUUUUUCAGAUAAUUAUAAAACAUUAUGGAUCUUGGUCAUGAUGGGUGACGUUAAAUUCCAUCAAUUAACAAACAGUCGUCUGGUGGGAGAACGACGUUAUGAAAUGAUAAACUGUAGCAAAAUACUUCCACGUUUCACAAGUGUCUUUUCACAUCAUCACAGACUUGCUUGGCUUGUAUCUGUUUAACACUUGAUAUGCUAAUAUUUUGCCCCUGCAAAUAACCAGUUUUAUCAUUUUGGACUUUCGAUGACCGGGUCUAUUAUUUUGGACUUGCAAUUACUGGAUUGAUCUGUUUGGGCAUGCGACAACUUGAAUUAUAAUUUUAAAUUCAUAACCGGAUUGAUCAUUUUGGACUUGCGAUAACCGGAUUGAUCGUUUUGGACUUGCGAUAACCUAAUUUAUUCAUUUGGACUUGCGUGCAUCAGAUUUAUCAUUUUGCACAUAUCUGGACUCUUCUUUAAAUAAUUGAAAACGAAAAAGGUUUAAAAGAUAAAAUGAUAUAUACAUAAAAAAAAUAAAAAUUAAAGCUUUCUUGUAGUCUUCCUUUUACAGGUGUGUACAUGGGAAGUGGAAAUAUACCUCAUUGUACUGUACGUAUGAACUCAUAUUUAUGCACAAGAAAUGUAUAGUGCACGAGUGAAGUCUGCACAGGAUAGUAUCUUUAUUUUUAAACCAGAAUAUAAGCUUUGGAUUCAAAAAAAAAAAAAGAUGAAACACAUGAAGAAGAAACACAAAGUAAUCCUAAAACAAAAGAAAAAUCGAAAUCGUUUAAAUAAUUUUCGAAAUAUUUUAUAUUACCUGGACACAUUGUAAGCAUACAUUACACUAAAACACAUUUAAAAGUUUCUGAUAGAUUGCAAGGCAUAUGACCUUCAAUUUGAAUUGGAAUUAAAAAAAAUUACUUGCACAAUCUACGUAGUGAAAAAAACGUCUUCACCAUAUGCGUACUUGGUAGAAAGUAAAAUUGACCCUAUUGAUGAACCAAUUCACAACCAACAUUUUCAAAAACAAACACGUGUUGCAUGGUCUCAAUAUUGCUGACUUCAAAUCUUAACCUCCUGAUGGCACCUCGCCUUAAACACAAAGCCCAUAUCGUUUUCUAAGUAAUGAAAGGCUUGGGAUGAAAACAAUGAGAUACAAAAAAGAAAAGCAACGGCCUGGUUGAAUCUGAAACGUUAAACUCAACUUGCUGUUGGUUUUUUUCCCAAUAUUUGUGUGGUAAAAAUGAGUUAUAUAAAAGGCAAUUGCAUUUAUAAUUUUCUUUCGGGACUUAAAAAAUACAACAGCCAUACCAUACUGGCAAAUCUGUUGUGAGUAUUUUUUUUUAAAAAAUGCUAAAGUUAACAGUUAUCGUUUAACUGGAUAAUUAUCUAGUUUUUUUAUGAGGGUUUUCGUAGUUUGAUAAAUGCGAUAACAAAUGUUUUCCAAUUAAAGCAGUGUCGAGUUGGAUUUUAAAUAAUCGAAACUUUUACAGGUUAAACUUUUCUUUAUCAAUCGAAUAGGACGAUUCAAUUAGAAAAAAAACCUUUUGGCAAACAUAAAAAUAAGGAGAUAUGAUAUAAUUGACAAUAAGACAACUCUCUAUCCGAGAGGAAACUGACACAAAAGUAACUAAGAUGUCUAUUACACUAGCCUGAUCUUUGUUGUCAUUAAGUUCAAUGUAUGUCGGUCAUUUUGUGAGGGUAUAUGAGUAUGUUCAUUAUUGUUGGUUUGUUUGUACAUCCGUUAGAAAACCCUUUAAUAAAGUGUGACUGUAUAACGCUAUGGGGUAAAUAAUACGCGCAUCAUCCGGUCGGUUAAAAUUGUCAAAUCCGAAGGCUAGGGUAAGUAUUGUAGGAAUAACAUUAUCUGCAACAUCCCUUUAUUAACGGGAAGUUGUAGAUGUUCACUGAUGUAUCAGUGCAACUAUAUUAUGGUGCUUAUUUUUUGCCAAUUUUGCAGAACAUGCCAGUCAUAUUGAUUGAUACGUAACCAGAGCUGGAUAUAUUCUCCUGUUUUUAAGAAAUCAACAGACAACAUCAGUUGUACAACAUGUGAUGUAACAUUUAUCAAUUGAGUCAAACUAUUUAAAUAUCAUCCUUUUUUUUAUUGUGUACCACAAUUGAUGUAGCCCCUAUUAUUUGAUUGAGUAACAUGUAAUUAUGUUUUUUAUUAUGUUGUAGGUUCGAAAUGAACAUUGUGAAUAACAUCUCGAUGGGAGACGAUUAAGCCAUGAAAAUCUUCGUCUUGUGGAGGAACGACGUUCAUAACACCCACAAAAUAUUUCCACGUUUCACAAGUGUCGUAUUGACUUUGUCAAAGACUUGCUUGGUUUUUCACUUUUUAUUUCUUAUAUUAUUUUGAACAAUUGCGAACAUAAAGAGCGUAUAAAAAAGUAAUAAAAGUUCAAUGACAUGUUUAAAAUAAUACAAAUUAUGUAAUUUUUCGACUGCAAUUUACUUAAAAAUAUGUAUUUUUAAGCAUUAUUCUAUGUUUGCCGUUCUUAUUCUUUGAUUUUUCUAAGCACUGGCCUCCAGUUAUCGUUGUGAAAAGAUAACAAACAAAAUCGUUGAAUGAUAAAUGAUAUGCUUGUUUUACAUUUGUCAUUUAGGGGCCUUUUAUAGCUGAUUAUGUGGUAUGGACUUUCAUUGUUGAAGGCCUACAGUGACCUAUAGUUGCCUCUUUCUGUGUCAUUUGGUCUCUUGUGGCAAUCAUACCAAAUCGUUUUUUUUUAUAUUUGAAUUUAAUUCAAUUGUUGAACUAGGUUUAAGCUAAAGCGACUGUAUGUCAUGGUGCUUGCCAACAAUAUAGUACAAAACACAGUAAAUAGCUUCUAAUAUAUAAAUAGUCUGUGGGAAGAACGGUUCAAAAGUGCCCAAUAUCCUUUAAGUCAUUAGAGUACUAAAAGAGAAAUCAAAAGGCGUCAAAUUUGAAGAAAAAGCAAUACUUUGUUUGUACGAAAUUUUAUAGACAAAUAAAAUUGAGAAUGGAAAUGGAAAAUAUGUCAAAGAGACAACAACCAGACAAAACAACAGAUAACAGCUACAUCUUAAAAGCCUCCAAUGGGUCUUCAACGCAGCAAAACAAAUUCCACAUCCCACCUUAAUUAAACUGAUUGAAAACGAAUGUCAUUAAAAGUUUUGUUUUUCGUUGUUGGUGUUGUAUCUAACACUUUUAUUUUAAAGAUCAACAAACCUAAUAAAAAAGCAAAAAUAAAUAAUUCAGUGAAUGUCAAGAUCAGGAUAAGUUCAAUGACGAACGAUAAUUUAAUAAUUUAUACCGGCAAGUCCGAUGUUUAAUGUCAAUGGGUUUUCCAUUUUAAAAAUAGAUCUUUGAAAUUCCCAUUUCUAAAAAAAAAACGACAACCUUAUUAAUGAACUCUCAUGUACUGAAUAUCUUUUAUUUUA